CAGCAGCCGCGGUAAUACGUAGGGUGCGAGCGUUAAUCGGAUUUACUGGGCGUAAAGCGUGCGCAGGCGGCCCGUUAAGACAGGUGUGAAAUCCCUGGGCUCAACCUAGGAAUUGCGCUUGUGACUGGCGGGCUCGAGUACGGUAGAGGGGGGUGGAAUUCCUGGUGUAGCAGUGAAAUGCGUAGAGAUCAGGAGGAACACCGAUGGCGAAGGCAGCCCCCUGGGCCUGUACUGACGCUCAUGCACGAAAGCGUGGGGAGCAAACAGGAUUAGAUACCCUGGUAGUCCACGCCCUAAACGAUGGGUACUAGCCGUUUGGUGCGCGAUAGCGCUGAGUGGCGAAGCUAACGCGUGAAGUGCCCCGCCUGGGGAGUACGGCCGCAAGGUUGAAACUUAAAGGAAUUGGCGGG
This 410-nucleotide ribosomal RNA is filed under the name uncultured microorganism. Its description in RNAcentral is "bacterial SSU rRNA". It matches the Rfam family "Bacterial small subunit ribosomal RNA", at positions 509 to 917 of the family's 1533-position model. The record is from RNAcentral.